UUUUGUUUCAACCUUACAGAGAGUAUCACAUUAAUAAAUCUGCAGGUUGUCUGACUUCUUCACCGCUUGCGGAUAAAGUGAUCAGGAUUGUAAAAUGUGAUAAUUCUACCUAGAAAUGAAUGCAGAUGGAAUUUCAAGGAGGGUGGUGUUGCAGUUCUUUCACCCCUAGACCCGGAACAGGUUAUUUCUUUCAAUCUAUUAAAGUUGCAGCAGAGUAGUGGUAGUCGGUUAGGGUUAGAAGGGGUGCCGAUGGUCGAUUAGGGAUGGAAAGUGGGGUGGUUCAACGCUUUUGGUGCUUGGGGUGGCGGUUACAUGGAGGUUGUGGUUGGGCCACCAAAUUAAGUAGCAAAUGGGUUGUAGGUGGGUACGAGUGGCGGCGAUUGUUGGUGGUUGAGGAAAAGGGGGAAGAUUGGGUUUCUGAAGCUUAGAUCGCGACUAAUAAGCGGUUUUGAGUUAGCGCUAUUGAAGACGAUUGAAAAUGCAGAUAUUGAGUGGUUAAAGGGUGUAUGUAUGAUAUGGUUGUUGAAGGUUUUCAGCUUUUAAGCCAAUGGAGUUAUCGCAUUUGUGAGCAAUGUGCAUGGAAAUUCUCACGCCCCUUCAAGGACUUUGUCGAGUCAGCUGAAAUGACAUCAGUUUCUGAUUAUGAAAAGGUUUAGUCGCAGUCUACAUCAAUUCAAGCUAGGAGGUCUAGAAACUCAACUAAAAUCUAGGUUGUUGGAUUUGUAUUGUUCGAGAGGACAAGAAAUUUGUGAUAACUUAUGUGAUUGUACUGAUUGUUAGUAUGGGAUAACAAAUGUUAUAAAUACUGCCGCAAUAUAAUUGUUAUGGAUUCUCUU
Molecule: long non-coding RNA, 836 nt
Organism: Helianthus annuus (common sunflower)
Lineage: Eukaryota; Viridiplantae; Streptophyta; Magnoliopsida; Asterales; Asteraceae
Exons: 5
Source: RefSeq, a predicted model, not a curated record